Molecule: ribosomal RNA, 497 nt
Filed under: uncultured bacterium
Lineage: Bacteria
Description: partial 16S ribosomal RNA
Rfam family: Bacterial small subunit ribosomal RNA
Source: RNAcentral
GAUGAACGCUGGCGGCGUGCCUAAUACAUGCAAGUCGAGCGAACGGACGAGAAGCUUGCUUCUCUGAUGUUAGCGGCGGACGGGUGAGUAACACGUGGAUAACCUACCUAUAAGACUGGGAUAACUUCGGGAAACCGGAGCUAAUACCGGAUAAUAUUUUGAACCGCAUGGUUCAAAAGUGAAAGACGGCCUUGCUGUCACUUAUAGAUGGAUCCGCGCUGCAUUAGCUAGUUGGUAAGGUAACGGCUUACCAAGGCAACGAUGCAUAGCCGACCUGAGAGGGUGAUCGGCCACCCUGGAACUGAGACACGGUCCAGACUCCUCCGGGAGGCAGCAGUAGGGAAUCUUCCGCAAUGGGCGAAAGCCUGACGGAGCAACGCCGCGUGAGUGAUGAAGGUCUUCGGAUCGUACAACUCUGUUAUUAGGGAAGAACAUAUGUGUAAGUAACUGUGCACAUCUUGACGGUACCUAAUCAGAAAGCCACGGCUAACUACGUG